UAAAGUCGGCUAGCUCGGGAUGGAUG
RNAcentral lists this unclassified non-coding RNA (26 nucleotides) under Mus musculus (house mouse). RNAcentral's name for it is "oocyte_clustered_small_RNA6551". The record is from RNAcentral. Lineage: Eukaryota; Metazoa; Chordata; Mammalia; Rodentia; Muridae.